GACGAACGCUGGCGGCGUGCUUAACACAUGCAAGUCGAACGGUGAAGCGCUUUCCUUUUUGGUUGGUGUGGAUGAGUGGCGAACGGGUGAGUAACACGUGAGUAACCUGCCCCCUUCUUCUGGAUAACCGCAUGAAAGUGUGGCUAAUACGGGAUAUUCUGCGCCUGCUGCAUGGUGGGUGUGGGAAAGAUUGUGCCUUUGGGUGUUUUCGGUGGGGGAUGGGCUCGCGGCCUAUCAGCUUGUUGGUGGGGUGAUGGCCUACCAAGGCGGUGACGGGUAGCCGGCCUGAGAGGGUGGACGGUCACACUGGGACUGAGACACGGCCCAGACUCCUACGGGAGGCAGCAGUGGGGAAUAUUGCACAAUGGGCGCUAGCCUGAUGCAGCGACGCCGCGUGAGGGAGGGAGGCCUUCGGGGUGUGAACCUCUUUCGCCAGUGAAGCAGGCCUGCUCCUUGUGGGUGGGUUGACGGUAGCUGGAUAAGAAGCGCCGGCUAACUACGUG
RNAcentral lists this ribosomal RNA (503 nucleotides) under uncultured bacterium. Its description in RNAcentral is "partial 16S ribosomal RNA". It matches the Rfam family "Bacterial small subunit ribosomal RNA", at positions 28 to 507 of the family's 1533-position model. The record is from RNAcentral.